RNAcentral lists this ribosomal RNA (392 nucleotides) under Spinomantis sp. 2 MV-2009. RNAcentral's name for it is "partial 16S ribosomal RNA". It matches the Rfam family "Bacterial large subunit ribosomal RNA", at positions 1968 to 2527 of the family's 2925-position model. The record is from RNAcentral. Lineage: Eukaryota; Metazoa; Chordata; Amphibia; Anura; Mantellidae.
CUUGUUCUUUAAAUAGGGACUAGUAUCAACGGCACCACGAGGGUCUCACUGUCUCCUCUCUCUAAUCAAUGAAACUGAUCUCUCCGUGAAGAAGCGGAGAUUUAACUAUAAGACGAGAAGACCCCAUGGAGCUUUAAACCUGACUACACCCCUAUCUAUUAUACCCUUAAAUCAACAGGGCCUUUGUCUGUCGGUUUUAGGUUGGGGUGACCGCGGAGCAUAAAUUAACCUCCAAGAUGAACUGGACUAACCCAUUAUCUAAGAUUUACACCUCAAAGAAUCAGCACACUGACAUAAAAUGAUCCGACAUUCGAUCAACGAACCAAGUUACCCUGGGGAUAACAGCGCAAUCUACUUCAAGAGCCCCUAUCGACAAGCAGGUUUACGACCUC